GCCAGGCAUGGUGGUGCAUGCCUGCAGUCCCAGCUACUUGGGAGGCUGAGGUGGGAGGAUGGCUUGAGCCUGGGAGGUUGAGGCUGCAGUAAGUCAAGGUUAUGCUACUGCACUCCCGCCUGGGCAACACAGUGAGACUCUGUCUCAA
Callithrix jacchus (white-tufted-ear marmoset) is the source of this 148-nucleotide unclassified non-coding RNA. It matches the Rfam family "Metazoan signal recognition particle RNA". Rfam says of the family: The signal recognition particle (SRP) is a universally conserved ribonucleoprotein. It is involved in the co-translational targeting of proteins to membranes. Lineage: Eukaryota; Metazoa; Chordata; Mammalia; Primates; Cebidae. The record is from Ensembl.